Molecule: small nuclear RNA, 105 nt
Organism: Pelobates fuscus (common spadefoot toad)
Lineage: Eukaryota; Metazoa; Chordata; Amphibia; Anura; Pelobatidae
Source: RefSeq, a predicted model, not a curated record
GUGUCAUUGAGUGCACAUAUACUGAAAUUGUAUCAAUACAAAAAAGAUUAGCAUGGCCCCUGCAAAAGGAUGACACGUGAAAUUUGUGAAGCAUUCCACAGAUUC